Molecule: non-coding RNA, 875 nt
Organism: Nerophis lumbriciformis (worm pipefish)
Lineage: Eukaryota; Metazoa; Chordata; Actinopteri; Syngnathiformes; Syngnathidae
Source: RefSeq, a predicted model, not a curated record
CUCUUGUGUGGCUUCCUUUUUAGUGCCCCAGGGAACAAAUGUGCCCAAUCGGGGGACUCCUGAGGAAGCAUCUCCUGAGGGGGCGUCUCCUGAGGAGGCGUCCGCUGCAAGGGUGAGUCCUCAUAGUCCACCAUAGGAGCCCCAGAAAGUGUGGGCCCCCGUGGUGAAAAUUCACCCUGUGGUGCCGUCUCAUCUGCCGUCUCAGGCUGGAGAGGGGACCAGUCGGGGGUCGCGGAAGAGUAACGAGGGGACAUCACCGAAGAAAGCCCCCGCUCCUGUUCUUCAUCCCGAAAGUCGAUCAGGAGAGGCGAGGAGGCCGUGGGUCCCCCUGGUGAUCCCAGAGGAAGCCUCCUGCGAGAUGCAGGAAUAAGCUGGGUGGGCGGAGCCUCGCCGAGGGUGUCCUGGGCAGGCCCGCUGUCCGUGGCCCGGGGCUGUGUCACCCUCUGCUCCUUGGGUGGUUCCGGUCGACGAGGAAGGAAGAUCGGGGCAACCCGUGCUGGAGGGAUUGCUUCCCGAUCCACCUCAGGAGACCAAUCUGGAGCCACGGCGUCGGUGCUGGUAGCCACCGAGACCCGGGCGACGACCCGAGCCGGAGGGCUGCUAGCCCGUACCACCCCAGGAGCCCCGUCAGGGCCCGUAGGGUCAGUAUGGGUGCCCACCGAUACCCGGGUGGCGGUCUGGACCGGCAAGGACUGGGCCGGGCGUACCACCUCAGCGUUGACAGGGGGGUCGGCGAAGGCCGCGACGAUCAGAGCCUCGGCCUUCCCGAGGGUGUCCCCCAUCAGUCUGCGUCCCAGAUGUUUCUUGGCCCAUGUAGAGGCCAGCUGAAAAGCGGGUCUCCAGACCUCAUCAAUAAAACUGGUUAUCUUGUCCAA